CGGAGGGCGCGAGCGUUGUCCGGAAUCACUGGGCGUAAAGGGCGCGUAGGCGGCUCGAUAAGGCUUGCGUGAAAGUCCGGGGCUCAACCCCGGAUCGGCGCGGGCGACUGUUGGGCUGGAGCACGGUAGGGGCAGACGGAAUUCCGGGUGUAGCGGUGGAAUGCGUAGAGAUCCGGAAGAACACCGGUGGCGAAGGCGGUCUGCUGGGCCGGAAGGGGGCAGAGCAAUCUGUCCCCGUGCUGACGCUGAGGCGCGACAGCGUGGGGAGCAAACAGGAUUAGAUACCCUGGUAGUCCACGCCGUAAAACGAUGGGCACUAGGUGCCCGGGGGAGCGACCCUCCGGGUGCCGGCGCUAACGCAUUAAGUGCCCCGCCUGGGGAGUACGGCCGCAAGGCUGA
RNAcentral lists this ribosomal RNA (399 nucleotides) under uncultured organism. RNAcentral describes it as "bacterial SSU rRNA". It matches the Rfam family "Bacterial small subunit ribosomal RNA", at positions 526 to 897 of the family's 1533-position model. The record is from RNAcentral.